ACUGGGCACUGUGGCAUGUGCCUGUAAUCCCAAUUACUCAGGAAGCUGAGGCAGAAGGAUCAUUUGAGCCCAGGAGUUCUGGGCUAUGGUGUGCUACAUGCCCAUCAGGUGUCCACACUAAGUUCAGCGUCAAUAUGGUAACACUAUCAGGUUACCUAAGGAGGGGUGAACCAGGCCAGGUCAGAAACAGAGCAGGCCAAAACUCCCAUGCUGAUCAGUAGUGGCAUUGUGCCUGUGAACAGCACUGCAGUCCAGGCUGGGCAAUGUAGUGAGACCCUGUCUGUU
Callithrix jacchus (white-tufted-ear marmoset) is the source of this 285-nucleotide unclassified non-coding RNA. It matches the Rfam family "Metazoan signal recognition particle RNA". Rfam says of the family: The signal recognition particle (SRP) is a universally conserved ribonucleoprotein. It is involved in the co-translational targeting of proteins to membranes. Lineage: Eukaryota; Metazoa; Chordata; Mammalia; Primates; Cebidae. The record is from Ensembl.